Non-coding RNA from Triticum aestivum (bread wheat), 114 nucleotides. NCBI's taxonomy places the organism in Eukaryota, Viridiplantae, Streptophyta, Magnoliopsida, Poales, Poaceae. The record is from Rfam.
AACAUACUCCCUUCGUUCGGAAUUACUUGUCUUGGAAAUGGUGUAUCUAGAACUAAAAUACGUCUAGAUACAUCCAUUUCUGUGACAAGUAAUUCCGAACGAAGGGAGUAUAUA